GCCAGGGUAGCUCAGCCGGCAGAGCAGCUGAUUCGUAAUCAGCAGGUCGUGGGUUCGAAUCCCAUCCCUGGCUCCA
RNAcentral lists this transfer RNA (76 nucleotides) under Nitrospirota bacterium. RNAcentral describes it as "Nitrospirae bacterium (hydrothermal vent metagenome) tRNA-Thr". It matches the Rfam family "tRNA". From Rfam's summary of the family: Transfer RNA (tRNA) molecules are approximately 80 nucleotides in length. Their secondary structure includes four short double-helical elements and three loops (D, anti-codon, and T loops). Lineage: Bacteria; Pseudomonadati; Nitrospirota. The record is from RNAcentral.